Molecule: ribosomal RNA, 574 nt
Filed under: Meyerozyma guilliermondii
Lineage: Eukaryota; Fungi; Ascomycota; Pichiomycetes; Serinales; Debaryomycetaceae
Description: partial large subunit ribosomal RNA
Rfam family: Eukaryotic large subunit ribosomal RNA
Source: RNAcentral
AAACCAACAGGGAUUGCCUUAGUAGCGGCGAGUGAAGCGGCAAAAGCUCAAAUUUGAAAUCUGGCGCCUUCGGUGUCCGAGUUGUAAUUUGAAGAUUGUAACCUUGGGGUUGGCUCUUGUCUAUGUUUCUUGGAACAGGACGUCACAGAGGGUGAGAAUCCCGUGCGAUGAGAUGCCCAAUUCUAUGUAAGGUGCUUUCGAAGAGUCGAGUUGUUUGGGAAUGCAGCUCUAAGUGGGUGGUAAAUUCCAUCUAAAGCUAAAUAUUGGCGAGAGACCGAUAGCGAACAAGUACAGUGAUGGAAAGAUGAAAAGAACUUUGAAAAGAGAGUGAAAAAGUACGUGAAAUUGUUGAAAGGGAAGGGUUUGAGAUCAGACUCGAUAUUUUGUGAGCCUUGCCUUCGUGGCGGGGUGACCCGCAGCUUAUCGGGCCAGCAUCGGUUUGGGCGGUAGGAUAAUGGCGUAGGAAUGUGACUUUACUUCGGUGAAGUGUUAUAGCCUGCGUUGAUGCUGCCUGCCUAGACCGAGGACUGCGAUUUUAUCAAGGAUGCUGGCAUAAUGAUCCCAAACCGCCCGU